GUGGGGAAUAUUGGACAAUGGGCGCAAGCCUGAUCCAGCAAUGCCGCGUGGGUGAAGAAGGUCUUCGGAUCGUAAAGCCCUUUCGACAGGGACGAUGAUGACGGUACCUGUAGAAGAAGCCCCGGCUAACUUAGUGCCAGCAGCCGCGGUAAUACGAAGGGGGCUAGCGUUACUCGGAAUUACUGGGCGUAAAGGGCGCGUAGGCGGCUCUGUUAGUCAGGCGUGAAAUUCCUGGGCUUAACCUGGGGACUGCGCUUGAUACUGCAGGGCUUGAGGCCGAGAGAGGGUGGUGGAAUUCCCAGUGUAGAUGUGAAAUUCGUAGAUAUUGGGAAGAACACCGGUGGCGAAGGCGACCACCUGGCUCGGUUCUGACGCUGAGGCGCGACAGCGUGGGGAGCAAACAGGAUUAGAUACCCGUGUAGUCC
Molecule: ribosomal RNA, 425 nt
Filed under: uncultured bacterium
Lineage: Bacteria
Description: partial 16S ribosomal RNA
Rfam family: Bacterial small subunit ribosomal RNA
Source: RNAcentral